Molecule: small nuclear RNA, 19 nt
Filed under: Arabidopsis thaliana (thale cress)
Lineage: Eukaryota; Viridiplantae; Streptophyta; Magnoliopsida; Brassicales; Brassicaceae
Description: snRNA_10315
Source: RNAcentral
GUGGGCCGAUGGCCCACAU